GGGUUGUGAGGUUAAGCGACUAAGCGUACACGGUGGAUGCCCUGGCAGUCAGAGGCGAUGAAGGACGUGCUAAUCUGCGAUAAGCGCCGGUAAGGUGAUAUGAACCGUUAUAACCGGCGAUUUCCGAAUGGGGAAACCCAGUGUGACUCGUCACACUAUCAUUAACUGAAUCCAUAGGUUAAUGAGGCGAACCGGGGGAACUGAAACAUCUAAGUACCCCGAGGAAAAGAAAUCAACCGAGAUUCCCCAGUAGCGGCGAGCGAACGGGGAGGAGCCCAGAGCCUGAAUCAGCAUGUGUGUUAGUGGAAGCGUCUGGAAAGGCGCGCGAUACAGGGUGACAGCCCCGUACACAAAAGCGCAUGUGCUGUGAGCUCGAUGAGUAGGGCGGGACACGUGGUAUCCUGUCUGAAUAUGGGGGACCAUCCUCCAAGGCUAAAUACUCCUGACUGACCGAUAGUGAACCAGUACCGUGAGGGAAAGGCGAAAAGAACCCCGGCGAGGGGAGUGAAAAAGAACCUGAAACCGUGUACGUACAAGCAGUGGGAGCACCCUUCGGGGUGUGACUGCGUACCUUUGUAUAAUGGGUCAGCGACUUAUAUUCUGUAGCAAGGUUAACCGUAUAGGGGAGCCGCAGGAAACCGAGUCUUAACCGGGCGUUAAGUUGCAGGGUAUAGACCCGAAACCCGGUGAUCUAGCCAUGGGCAGGUUGAAGGUUGGGUAACACUAACUGGAGGACCGAACCGACUAAUGUUGAAAAAUUAGCGGAUGACCUGUGGCUGGGGGUGAAAGGCCAAUCAAACCGGGAGAUAGCUGGUUCUCCCCGAAAGCUAUUUAGGUAGCGCCUCGUGAAUUCAUCUCCGGGGUAGAGCACUGUUUCGGCUAGGGGCCAUCCCGGCUUACCAACCCGAUGCAAACUGCGAAUACCGGAGAAUGUUAUCACGGGAGACACACGGCGGGUGCUAACGUCCGUCGUGAAGAGGGAAACAACCCAGACCGCCAGCUAAGGUCCCAAAGUCAUGGUUAAGUGGGAAACGAUGUGGGAAGGCCCAGACAGCCGGAUGUUGGCUUAGAAGCAGCCAUCAUUUAAAGAAAGCGUAAUAGCUCACUGGUCGAGUCGGCCUGCGCGGAAGAUGUAACGGGGCUAAACCAUGCACCGAAGCUGCGGCAGCGACGCUUAUGCGUUGUUGGGUAGGGGAGCGUUCUGUAAGCCUGCGAAGGUGGCCUGUGAGGGUUGCUGGAGGUAUCAGAAGUGCGAAUGCUGACAUAAGUAACGAUAAAGCGGGUGAAAAGCCCGCUCGCCGGAAGACCAAGGGUUCCUGUCCAACGUUAAUCGGGGCAGGGUGAGUCGACCCUAAGGCGAGGCCGAAAGGCGUAGUCGAUGGGAAACGGGUUAAUAUUCCCGUACUUGGUGUUACUGCGAAGGGGGGACGGAGAAGGCUAUGUUGGCCGGGCGACGGUUGUCCCGGUUUAAGCGUGUAGGUGUGUGUUCCGGUAAAUCCGGUUCACUUUAACACUGAGGCGUGACGACGAGGCACUACGGUGCUGAAGCAACAAAUGCCCUGCUUCCGGAAAGCCUCUAAGCAUCAGGUAACAUCAAAUCGUACCCCAAACCGACACAGGUGGUCAGGUAGAGAAUACCAAGGCGCUUGAGAGAACUCGGGUGAAGGAACUAGGCAAAAUGGUGCCGUAACUUCGGGAGAAGGCACGCUGACACGUAGGUGAAGUGAUUUACUCAUGGAGCUGAAGUCAGUCGAAGAUACCAGCUGGCUGCAACUGUUUAUUAAAAACACAGCACUGUGCAAACACGAAAGUGGACGUAUACGGUGUGACGCCUGCCCGGUGCCGGAAGGUUAAUUGAUGGGGUCAGCGCAAGCGAAGCUCCUGAUCGAAGCCCCGGUAAACGGCGGCCGUAACUAUAACGGUCCUAAGGUAGCGAAAUUCCUUGUCGGGUAAGUUCCGACCUGCACGAAUGGCGUAAUGAUGGCCGUGCUGUCUCCACCCGAGACUCAGUGAAAUUGAACUCGCUGUGAAGAUGCAGUGUACCCGCGGCAAGACGGAAAGACCCCGUGAACCUUUACUAUAGCUUGACACUGAACAUUGAGCCUUGAUGUGUAGGAUAGGUGGGAGGCUUUGAAGCGUGGACGCCAGUCUGCGUGGAGCCGACCUUGAAAUACCACCCUUUAAUGUUUGAUGUUCUAACGUGGACCCGUGAUCCGGGUUGCGGACAGUGUCUGGUGGGUAGUUUGACUGGGGCGGUCUCCUCCUAAAGAGUAACGGAGGAGCACGAAGGUUGGCUAAUCCUGGUCGGACAUCAGGAGGUUAGUGCAAUGGCAUAAGCCAGCUUGACUGCGAGCGUGACGGCGCGAGCAGGUGCGAAAGCAGGUCAUAGUGAUCCGGUGGUUCUGAAUGGAAGGGCCAUCGCUCAACGGAUAAAAGGUACUCCGGGGAUAACAGGCUGAUACCGCCCAAGAGUUCAUAUCGACGGCGGUGUUUGGCACCUCGAUGUCGGCUCAUCACAUCCUGGGGCUGAAGUAGGUCCCAAGGGUAUGGCUGUUCGCCAUUUAAAGUGGUACGCGAGCUGGGUUUAGAACGUCGUGAGACAGUUCGGUCCCUAUCUGCCGUGGGCGCUGGAGAACUGAGGGGGGCUGCUCCUAGUACGAGAGGACCGGAGUGGACGCAUCACUGGUGUUCGGGUUGUCAUGCCAAUGGCACUGCCCGGUAGCUAAAUGCGGAAGAGAUAAGUGCUGAAAGCAUCUAAGCACGAAACUUGCCCCGAGAUGAGUUCUCCCUGAGACUUUAGGUCUCCUGAAGGAACGUUGAAGACGACGACGUUGAUAGGCCGGGUGUGUAAGCGCAGCGAUGCGUUGAGCUAACCGGUACUAAUGAACCGUGAGGCUUAACCUUACAACGCCGAAG
This 2916-nucleotide ribosomal RNA is filed under the name Salmonella enterica subsp. enterica serovar Adjame. RNAcentral describes it as "23S ribosomal RNA". It matches the Rfam family "Bacterial large subunit ribosomal RNA". The record is from RNAcentral. Lineage: Bacteria; Pseudomonadati; Pseudomonadota; Gammaproteobacteria; Enterobacterales; Enterobacteriaceae.